GUCGUGAGAUGUUGGGUUAAGUCCCGCAACGAGCGCAACCCUUGUCAUUAGUUGCUACAUUCAGUUGGGCACUCUAAUGAGACUGCCGGUGACAAACCGGAGGAAGGUGGGGAUGACGUCAAGUCCUCAUGGCCCUUAUGGGUAGGGCUUCACACGUAAUACAAUGGCGCGUACAGAGGGUUGCCAAGGAGCGAUCUGGAGCCAAUCCCGUAAAGCGCGUCGUAGUCCGGAUUGCAGUCUGCAACUCGACUGCAUGAAGUCGGAAUCGCUAGUAAUCGCGGAUCAGCAUGUCGCGGUGAAUACGUUCCCGGGUCUUGUACACACCGCCCGUCACACCAUGGGAGUGGGUUUCACCAGAAGCCGGUCGCUUAACCGCAAGGAUGGCGCCGACCACGGUGAGAUUCAUGACUGGGGUGAAGUCGUAACAAGGUAGCCGUAUCGGAAGGUGCGGCUGGAUCACCUCCUUUCUAAGAAAGCGCUCUCCAGCGCCCACCAUCUAUCGGCUGUAAAAAUCUGCGGCCUUCACUGGGUCUGUAGCUCAGUUGGUUAGAGCACCGUCUUGAUAAGGCGGGGGUCGAUGGUUCGAAUCCAUCCAGACCCACCAACCAACCGUGCAACUCACAUCGAGGAAUCAGCAAUCAGCAUUCGCGCGAGCGGGUGCUGAUUGGUGCUUCUUCGUGUAAGUGAGAAGAAGUGUCGAUCGGCUGCUCUUUAACAAUAUGGGAUAGAAGGUAAAGUUGUUCUCGUUCACGAGGGCUGCGUGCGCGCGGUAUGGCGAGGCGGGUCGAGUGGCGAGGGCUAACUGGGUUAUGUAUUGCAUCGUGUCUUCACUGGGUAACUGGUGGGGAUGCAAGCACAAGCGUGAGAAUAGCCUGUGACUUUGAGAUGCUCCGGGGGACUUUGCCCUGGGGUGCUGGGUGUUCUAAAGAUGCCCGGCGGCAAGGUUAUAGGGUCAAGCGAAUAAGUGCAUGUGGUGGAUGCCUUGGCAAUGAUAGGCGACGAAGGACGUGACAGCCUGCGAUAAGCUGCGGGGAGCCGGCAAAUGGGCUUUGAUCCGCAGAUUU
This 1064-nucleotide small RNA is filed under the name uncultured beta proteobacterium. Its description in RNAcentral is "bacterial SSU rRNA". The stretch from base 1 to 467 matches the Rfam family "Bacterial small subunit ribosomal RNA", at positions 1064 to 1533 of the family's 1533-position model. Lineage: Bacteria; Pseudomonadati; Pseudomonadota; Betaproteobacteria. The record is from RNAcentral.